UACCAGCACCCCGAGUGUUCGGGACGAUUAUUGGGCCUAAAGCAUCCGUAGCCGGUUCUGCAAGUCCCCCGUUAAAUCCAGCUGCUCAACAGAUGGGCCGCGGAGGAUACUACAGAGCUAGGAGGCAGGAGAGGCAAGCGGUACUCAGUGGGUAGGGGUAAAAUCCGUUGAUCCAUUGAAGACCACCAGUGGCGAAGGCGGCUUGCCAGAAUGCGCUCGACGGUGAGGGAUGAAAGCUGGGGGAGCAAACCGG
Molecule: ribosomal RNA, 253 nt
Filed under: uncultured bacterium
Lineage: Bacteria
Description: partial 16S ribosomal RNA
Rfam family: Archaeal small subunit ribosomal RNA
Source: RNAcentral